UCUUGAUUAAGUGGUUUUAGUAGAUUCCUAUUUCGUUUAUAUCUUGUUUAGUUUAUGUCACGACAUAGACCGUCAUGGGUCUAACCCACACUAUCCAUCUUGUGGGACAACAAACUACCAACCAAAAAUUACCCAGCACACCAUUUUCUAAACCAAGUCAACAAAUAAAUAUCAAGAAACAAUCUUUAAAACAACUAAUGAAUUGAG
Molecule: long non-coding RNA, 207 nt
Filed under: Solanum tuberosum (potato)
Lineage: Eukaryota; Viridiplantae; Streptophyta; Magnoliopsida; Solanales; Solanaceae
Description: long non-coding RNA (STUB_LNC001379)
Source: RNAcentral